GACGAACGCUGGCGGCGUGCUUAACACAUGCAAGUCGAACGGUAAGGCCCUUCGGGGUACACGAGUGGCGAACGGGUGAGUAACACGUGGGUGAUCUGCCCUGCACUUCGGGAUAAGCCUGGGAAACUGGGUCUAUACCGGAUAGGACUCCUGGCUUCAUGGUUGGGGGUGGAACGCUUGUGCGGUGUGGGAUGGGCCCGCGGCCUAUCAGCUUGUUGGUGGGGUAAUGGCCUACCAAGGCGACGACGGGUAGCCGGCCGGAGAGGGUGACCGGUCAAACUGGGAAUGGGAUAGGGCUCAGACUCCUACGGGUGGCAGCAGUGGGGAAUAUUGCACAAUGGGCGCAAGCCUGAUGCAGCGACGCCGCGUGAGGGAUGACGGCCUUCGGGUUGUAAACCUCUUUCAGCUAUGACGAAGCGCAAGUGACGGUAGGAGCAGAAGAAGGACCGGCCAACUACGUGCCAGCCGCUGCCGUAA
Molecule: ribosomal RNA, 477 nt
Filed under: uncultured bacterium
Lineage: Bacteria
Description: partial 16S ribosomal RNA
Rfam family: Bacterial small subunit ribosomal RNA
Source: RNAcentral